RNAcentral lists this ribosomal RNA (1364 nucleotides) under uncultured bacterium. RNAcentral describes it as "bacterial SSU rRNA". It matches the Rfam family "Bacterial small subunit ribosomal RNA". The record is from RNAcentral.
UCGCUGACGAGUGGCGGACGGGUGAGUAAUGUCUGGGAAACUGCCUGAUGGAGGGGGAUAACUACUGGAAACGGUAGCUAAUACCGCAUAACGUCGCAAGACCAAAGACGGGGACCUUCGGGCCUCUUGCCAUCAGAUGUGCCCAGAUGGGAUUAGCUAGUAGGUGGGGUAACGGCUCACCUAGGCGACGAUCCCUAGCUGGUCUGAGAGGAUGACCAGCCACACUGGAACUGAGACACGGUCCAGACUCCUACGGGAGGCAGCAGUGGGGAAUAUUGCACAAUGGGCGCAAGCCCGAUGCAGCCAUGCCGCGUGUAUGAAGAAGGCCUUCGGGUUGUAAAGUACUUUCAGCGGGGAGGAAGGGAGUAAAGUUAAUACCUUUGCUCAUUGACGUUACCCGCAGAAGAAGCACCGGCUAACUCCGUGCCAGCAGCCGCGGUAAUACGGAGGGUGCAAGCGUUAAUCGGAAUUACUGGGCGUAAAGCGCACGCAGGCGGUUUGUUAAGUCAGAUGUGAAAUCCCCGGGCUCAACCUGGGAACUGCAUCUGAUACUGGCAAGCUUGAGUCUCGUAGAGGGGGGUAGAAUUCCAGGUGUAGCGGUGAAAUGCGUAGAGAUCUGGAGGAAUACCGGUGGCGAAAGCGGCCCCCUGGAUAGUCCACGCCGUAAACGAUGUCGACUUGGAGGUUGUGCCCUUGAGGCGUGGCUUCCGGAGCUAACGCGUUAAGUCGACCGCCUGGGGAGUACGGCCGCAAGGUUAAAACUCAAAUGAAUUGACGGGGGCCCGCACAAGCGGUGGAGCAUGUGGUUUAAUUCGAUGCAACGCGAAGAACCUUACCUGGUCUUGACAUCCACGGAAGUUUUCAGAGAUGAGAAUGUGCCUUCGGGAACCGUGAGACAGGUGCUGCAUGGCUGUCGUCAGCUCGUGUUGUGAAAUGCUGGGUUAAGUCCCGCAACGAGCGCAACCCUUAUCCUUUGUUGCCAGCGGUCCGGCCGGGAACUCAAAGGAGACUGCCAGUGAUAAACUGGAGGAAGGUGGGGAUGACGUCAAGUCAUCAUGGCCCUUACGACCAGGGCUACACACGUGCUACAAUGGCGCAUACAAAGAGAAGCGACCUCGCGAGAGCAAGCGGACCUCAUAAAGUGCGUCGUAGUCCGGAUUGGAGUCUGCAACUCGACUCCAUGAAGUCGGAAUCGCUAGUAAUCGUGGAUCAGAAUGCCACGGUGAAUACGUUCCCGGGCCUUGUACACACCGCCCGUCACACCAUGGGAGUGGGUUGCAAAAGAAGUAGGUAGCUUAAUCUUCGGGAGGGCGCUUACCACUUUGUGAUUCAUGACUGGGGUGAAGUCGUAACAAGGUAACCAA